RNAcentral lists this ribosomal RNA (254 nucleotides) under uncultured bacterium. Its description in RNAcentral is "partial 16S ribosomal RNA". It matches the Rfam family "Bacterial small subunit ribosomal RNA", at positions 524 to 776 of the family's 1533-position model. The record is from RNAcentral.
UACGUAGGCAGCAAGCGUUGUUCGGAGUUACUGGGCGUAAAGGGUGUGUAGGCGGUUGUUUAAGUUUGGUGUGAAAUCUCCCGGCUCAACUGGGAGGGUGCGCCGAAUACUGAAUGACUUCGAGUGCGGGAGAGGAUAGUGGAAUUCCUGGUGUAGCGGUGAAAUGCGUAGAUAUCAGGAGGAACACCUGCGGUGUAGACAGCUUUCUGGACCACUUCUGACGCUGAGACACGAAAGCGUGGGUAGCAAACAGG